GCUGCCACCCAGCGCCCGUCCCCGCGCCGCACUCCCCAGCGCUCCCCGCGCCGCGCGCCCCGCACCGGCUGGAGGCCCCGGCCCCCCGCCGCUCCCUCUCCGCGCACCUCCCGGCCCGCGCUAGCAGGGGUUAGUUAUAGCAGGCAAGAGUGUGGUUAUCGUUGGACCAGGAUUCAGGAUCUGACCGAGUAGCUGACUCUUAAUCCAGUUUGUGUUGAUCACCAGGAGGAUCUGGACCUCAGUGUUAUCAUAUCUAGAGCUAUAAUCACAUCCCUGUUAAGCCUUCCUGAGAUCACAUCAAAUGUCCUUGAUGGGAAUUGUAAACAAACCUUAAUUCUGGUAUCUAAUGAUAUUCCAGGAAAGGAGUCAAACUAGAGUCAGUGAUAUGCCAACUCCACCUUUGCCUUCCACCAUGUUUGGAAGCUCCCUGAGGCCUCACCAGGAGCAGAUGCUCAUCCCAUGCUUCCUAUAAGCCUGCAGAACUGUGAGCCAUAAUAAACUGUGAAUUAUAAAUUGCCUUUAUAGCAAUGCAAAUGGACCAGUACAGACGGGAUGCUGGGAAGACAGUUGUUCCACCUUCAGUAAA
This 586-nucleotide non-coding RNA is filed under the name Pongo abelii (Sumatran orangutan). The record is from RNAcentral. Lineage: Eukaryota; Metazoa; Chordata; Mammalia; Primates; Hominidae.